CCUACGGGGUGCACCAGUGGGGAAUAUUGGACAAUGGGGGCAACCCUGAUCCAGCCAUGCCGCGUGAGUGACGAAGGCCUUCGGGUCGUAAAGCUCUGUCCUCAAGGAAGAUAAUGACGGUACUUGAGGAGGAAGCCCCGGCUAACUACGUGCCAGCAGCCGCGGUAAUACGCAGGGGGCUAGCGUUAUCCGGAAUUACUGGGCGUAAAGGGUGCGUAGGUGGUUUCUUAAGUCAGAGGUGAAAGGCUACGGCUCAACCGUAGUAAGCCUUUGAAACUGGAAAACUUGAGUGCAGGAGAGGAGAGUGGAAUUCCUAGUGUAGCGGUGAAAUGCGUAGAUAUUAGGAGGAACACCAGUUGCGAAGGCGGCUCUCUGGACUGUAACUGACACUGAGGCACGAAAGCGUGGGGAGCAAACAGGAUUAGAUACCCCCGUAGUC
Molecule: ribosomal RNA, 439 nt
Filed under: uncultured bacterium
Lineage: Bacteria
Description: bacterial SSU rRNA
Rfam family: Bacterial small subunit ribosomal RNA
Source: RNAcentral